Molecule: transfer RNA, 72 nt
Filed under: Bradyrhizobium erythrophlei
Lineage: Bacteria; Pseudomonadati; Pseudomonadota; Alphaproteobacteria; Hyphomicrobiales; Nitrobacteraceae
Description: tRNA_Thr_TGT
Rfam family: tRNA
About the family: Transfer RNA (tRNA) molecules are approximately 80 nucleotides in length. Their secondary structure includes four short double-helical elements and three loops (D, anti-codon, and T loops).
Source: RNAcentral
GCUGGAAUAGCUCAGCGGUAGAGCAGCAGUUUUGUAAACUGACGGUCGGUGGUUCAAUCCCAUCUUCCAGCA